AACGCACAUUGCGCCCUUUGGUAUUCCGAAGGGCAUGCCUGUCCGAGCGUCAUUAUCAACCCUCAAGCCCGGCUUGUCAUUGGGCCCCGUCACGGUCAAGGUGACAGUCCCGAAAGGUAAUGGCGGUGUCGUGUUUGACCCUAGAUGCAACGAGCUUUUACAGCACGCGUCGACGCGGUCUACCGGCCCGGUCUUCAAAUCUAUUUUUCUAAGGUUGACCUCGGAUCAGGUAGGAAUACCCGCUGAACUUAA
RNAcentral lists this unclassified non-coding RNA (252 nucleotides) under Cortinarius sp. RNAcentral's name for it is "partial contains 5.8S ribosomal RNA, internal transcribed spacer 2, and large subunit ribosomal RNA". The stretch from base 1 to 52 matches the Rfam family "5.8S ribosomal RNA", at positions 103 to 154 of the family's 154-position model. Lineage: Eukaryota; Fungi; Basidiomycota; Agaricomycetes; Agaricales; Cortinariaceae. The record is from RNAcentral.